UACAGAGGGUGCGAGCGUUGUUCGGAAUUAUUGGGCGUAAAGGGUGCGUAGGCGGCGCGGUAAGUCGGGUGUGAAAUCUCGGGGCUUAACUCCGAAACUGCAUUCGAUACUGCCGUGCUUGAGGACUGGAGAGGAGACUGGAAUUUACGGUGUAGCGGUGAAAUGCGUAGAUAUCGUAAGGAAGACCAGUGGCGAAGGCGGGUCUCUGGACAGUUCCUGACGCUGAGGCACGAAGGCCAGGGGAGCAAACGGG
RNAcentral lists this ribosomal RNA (253 nucleotides) under uncultured bacterium. RNAcentral's name for it is "partial 16S ribosomal RNA". It matches the Rfam family "Bacterial small subunit ribosomal RNA", at positions 524 to 776 of the family's 1533-position model. The record is from RNAcentral.